UACGUAGGGGGCAAGCGUUGUCCGGAAUCACUGGGCGUAAAGGGCGCGUAGGCGGCCUGGUAAGUAGGGGGUGAAAUCCUGCGGCUUAACCGCAGGGCUGCCUUCUAAACUGUCAGGCUCGAGCACGGUAGAGGCAGAUGGAAUUCCUGGUGUAGCGGUGAAAUGCGCAGAUAUCAGGAGGAACACCGGUGGCGAAGGCGGGUCUCUGGGCCGAUACUGACGCUGAGGAGCGAAAGCGUGGGGAGCGAACAGG
Molecule: ribosomal RNA, 253 nt
Filed under: uncultured bacterium
Lineage: Bacteria
Description: partial 16S ribosomal RNA
Rfam family: Bacterial small subunit ribosomal RNA
Source: RNAcentral